ACCUGGGUAGCUCAGUUGGGUAGAGCGUGGUGCUGAUAAUGCCAAGGUUGCAGGUUCGAUCCCUGUAUGGGGUA
Molecule: transfer RNA, 74 nt
Filed under: Podarcis lilfordi (Lilford's wall lizard)
Lineage: Eukaryota; Metazoa; Chordata; Lepidosauria; Squamata; Lacertidae
Rfam family: tRNA
About the family: Transfer RNA (tRNA) molecules are approximately 80 nucleotides in length. Their secondary structure includes four short double-helical elements and three loops (D, anti-codon, and T loops).
Source: Rfam by way of RNAcentral